AGAGUUUGAUCCUGGCUCAGAUUGAACGCUGGCGGCAGGCUUAACACAUGCAAGUCGAGCGGAAACGGCAUAGGCAAUCCCUUCGGGGUGCGCUUAUGAACGUCGAACGGCGGACGGGUGAGUAAUGCCUGGGAAUCUGCCUGGUAGUGGGGGAUAACUUGCCGAAAGGUAAGCUAAUACCGCGUACGCCCUACGGGGGAAAGCAGGGGAUCUUCGGACCUUGCGCUAUCAGAUGAGCCCAGGCCGGAUUAGCUAGUUGGUAGGGUAAAGGCCUACCAAGGCGACGAUCCGUAGCUGGUCUGAGAGGAUGAUCAGCCACACCGGGACUGAGACACGGCCCGGACUCCUACGGGAGGCAGCAGUGGGGAAUAUUGGACAAUGGGGGGAACCCUGAUCCAGCCAUGCCGCGUGUGUGAAGAAGGUCUUCGGAUUGUAAAGCACUUUAAGUUGGGAGGAAGAGCUCCGGGCUAAUACCCUGCGAGUUUUGACAUUACCAACAGAAUAAGCACCGGCUAACUUCGUGCCAGCAGCCGCGGUAAUACGAAGGGUGCGAGCGUUAAUCGGAAUUACUGGGCGUAAAGCGCGCGUAGGUGGUUUGUUAAGUUGGAAGUGAAAGCCCCGGGCUCAACCUGGGAAUUGCUUUCAAAACUGACGGGCUAGAGUACGGUAGAGGGUAGUGGAAUUUCCUGUGUAGCGGUGAAAUGCGUAGAUAUAGGAAGGAACAUCAGUGGCGAAGGCGACUGCCUGGACUGAUACUGACACUGAGGUGCGAAAGCGUGGGGAGCAAACAGGAUUAGAUACCCUGGUAGUCCACGCCGUAAACGAUGUCAACUUGGUUGUUGGGGGGUCUUGUACCUUUAAUAACGCACCUAACGCAUUAAGUUGACCGCCUGGGGGAGUAAGGCCGCCAGGUUAAAACUCAAAUGAAUUGAUUGGGGGCUCCCACAAGAGGGGGAAUAUGGUGGUUUAAUUUCAAACCAACGGCAAAAAACUUUACCUGGGUUUGA
This 1007-nucleotide ribosomal RNA is filed under the name uncultured bacterium. Its description in RNAcentral is "bacterial SSU rRNA". It matches the Rfam family "Bacterial small subunit ribosomal RNA", at positions 8 to 984 of the family's 1533-position model. The record is from RNAcentral.